GUAGGGGGCAAGCGUUGUCCGGAUUUAUUGGGCGUAAAGAGCGUGUAGGCGGCCAGGUAGGUCCGCUGUGAAAACUCGAGGCUCAACCUCGAGAUGUCGGCGGAAACCAUCUGGCUAGAGUCCGGAAGAGGAGAAUGGAAUUCCCGGUGUAGCGGUGAAAUGCGCAGAUAUCGGGAAGAACACCCGUGGCGAAGGCGGUUCUCUGGGACGGUACUGACGCUGAGACGCGAAAGCGUGGGGAGCGAACAGGAUUAGAUACCCUGGUAGUCCACGCCGUAAACGAUGGGAACUAGGUGUGGGCGGUGUCGACUCCGUCCGUGCCGAAGCUAACGCAUUAAGUUCCCCGCCUGGGGAGUACGGCCGCAAGGCUAAA
This 373-nucleotide ribosomal RNA is filed under the name uncultured bacterium. RNAcentral's name for it is "bacterial SSU rRNA". It matches the Rfam family "Bacterial small subunit ribosomal RNA", at positions 527 to 898 of the family's 1533-position model. The record is from RNAcentral.